This 459-nucleotide ribosomal RNA is filed under the name uncultured bacterium. Its description in RNAcentral is "partial 16S ribosomal RNA". It matches the Rfam family "Bacterial small subunit ribosomal RNA", at positions 338 to 795 of the family's 1533-position model. The record is from RNAcentral.
CCUACGGGUGCAGCAGUGAGGAAUAUUGGUCAAUGGACGCAAGUCUGAACCAGCCAUGCCGCGUGCAGGAAGACGGCUCUAUGAGUUGUAAACUGCUUUUGUACGAGGGUAAACGCAGAUACGCGUAUCUGGCUGCAAGUAUCGUACGAAUACGGAUCGGCUAACUCCGUGCCAGCAGCCGCGGUAAUACGGAGGAGUCAAGCGUUAUCCGGAUUUAGUGGGUUUAAAGGGUGCGUAGGCGGUCGGAGAAGGUAGAGGUGAACUCCCGAGGCUCAACUUCGGAAUUGCCUCUGAUACUGUUCGGCUAGAGAGUAGUUGCGGUAGGCGGAAUGUAUGGUGUAGCGGUGAAAUGCUUAGAGAUCAUACAGAACACCGAUUGCGAAGGCAGCUUACCAAGCUACUUCUGACGUUGAGGCACGAAAGCGUGGGGAGCAAACAGGAUUAGAUACCCCAGUAGUC